This 253-nucleotide ribosomal RNA is filed under the name uncultured bacterium. RNAcentral's name for it is "partial 16S ribosomal RNA". It matches the Rfam family "Bacterial small subunit ribosomal RNA", at positions 524 to 776 of the family's 1533-position model. The record is from RNAcentral.
UACGUAGGGUACAAGCGUUGUCCGGAAUUAUUGGGCGUAAAGAGCUCGUAGGCGGUCUGUCGCGUCUGCUGUGAAAACCUAGGGCUUAACUCUGGGCGUGCAGUGGGUACGGGCAGGCUAGAGUGCGGUAGGGGAGACUGGAAUUCCUGGUGUAGCGGUGAAAUGCGCAGAUAUCAGGAGGAACACCGGUGGCGAAGGCGGGUCUCUGGGCCGUAACUGACGCUGAGGAGCGAAAGCAUGGGGAGCGAACAGG